UUCAUGCUCUAUAGGGAAAAAAACCAUGGGCACUCAUUUCAGCCUCCUGCCUGGAUAAGACAUCUUGGCUGUGUACAAGCCAUGCCUAUCUUACUGUUUCCCUUCUCUCCUUACCCCUCUUUCACAUUCCGUCUAUUUAGAUUAUUGCGUUAUGAUUUUAUAGUGCUGUGCCCCACAGAUUUUGUCUUUUGCCAUAGCACCUGUGCCCACUUUCCUGCUUCUUGCAACCUUCUCUUCCAGCCCCACUAUUUCUCAGCCUUUCUCUUCCCAGCACAGAUGCUUACUAUUUUCCUUCUCAGUGCCUGGGCACUAGCAGACUCUCCUUGCCCAAGAUUUGGUUGGGAAAAUCCUACUGAAACUUGGACUGAGGCAAGCUCAGAUGCUCUAGGUGGGAAAGCCCAUGUGAGGCAUUUUAGGGACCUUUAAGGAGUGGUGCAGUGGAGCAUGUUUAGCAAAUACAGAAAUAGAGAGACACCAGAGACCCAGCUGGCAUGUAGAUGGGGUGCAUGUGGACUGCAGGGCUCUAAGGUGUUGACCAGGUAUGUGCUUUUAAGCAGAAAGUAAGAGGCACAUCCCCGGCACUGAGGACACUUCCAAAUUCCAGGCUCCAGCUCCAUGAGGAAGCUCAACUCUGCCCAACGUGGAGAGAACACUAAGCCAGGAGAGGAUGGAGAAGAAGGAUGCUUUUCCUCUUCAUCUCAAACUUGAAAACAUUGGAGAUGUUUUUACUGAAACCCUCAACCCAGCAUGGACAAUUUCAGUUAAAACCAUUUACUUCUGGUGAAGUCAUGAUGUAACUGAGAUGGAGUCUGUGACAGAGAGCCCAGGGAGCACCGGAGGCCACAACCUGAUUGUCAUGGGGAGGGUGAUGACGUGCUUGCAGAGGAGGUGGCAAGCUCACAGCUACAGCAGCACUGAGGGUCAUAGUGCUGUGAAGCCCGAUGGGAAGGUGCUCUGCUUCCCAUGUAUCCACCUGCAUGAGUUUUGUGCACAGAUCUGACCUAAGCUGCAGCAACAACAAACUGGUGGUCUCAGGAAGACUAGCAGAUGAAGGACUUACCUCUGGACUCUACUGACGAGGAAAUGUGCUGAGCCAUGCUUUUAGUCUCAGAGAGAAUUGAUUCAUAAAAUAAGGAGAAGAUAAAGAAGGGGAUGGCUCUGCAGCUAAAGCAAUGGGUGCUGAGGCAAAGCUGGUGUGGCAGAAUGACCUGUGUGACUGCAGGUGGAGAAGCUCCUCUUGAUGGAUGCACAGGGAAGUACUGUCCUCCCAUGUCAGUAUGGACUAAAAUCUGCCCCUUACACAGGCUGUGCACGUAGCCUGGUAUGACAAAGCCUUGAUCUCACCUGGAGCCUGAUAGCAACAUCAUACUGCAAGCACACAGCCACCCUCAGACCCUCUGAAACACUGAACAUCCUCUGCUCUCUUCGGUCCUUCAUGUCCUAGGGGGUUUGCACCUAUGAUAUACACGUAUACGUUUGUGUGUGUCUAUGCAUAUGCAUAUGAAUGUCAUUUUAUCAAAUCACCUCAAAAACUCAUGGGUGGGCACGGGAUGGCAUUCUUCAGGCACAACAGCAGCACUGGGUGAGCAGGACAGCCCUUACCUAUUUCCCAGCUCCCCCAGAGAUGGGCCAGGUCAUUCAUGAGGGGCUUUUCCGUGUAAAACCAUGGUGGAGUGCCAUCUGCUGGGCAUGUACAGGGCUCUUCUGGCAACAAGGAGGAAUAAAGCAAAGGAAAAACCCACAGAAAUUGGCUAUGUCUAUGCUGGGACAUGACAUUUUGCUGAGACCCCUCCUCAGCAAGCUGGAAGGGAGCAGCAUCUUGCAACUUGUCAUGGUGCUGCGAAGUGUUCAGUGCAGGUGGCCACUGGCUCCCACCAACAAUCAAACUGCCCAGGAGAAUUCUGGAGGAGAAUCCCAGUGCAUCUGUGCCAAAAGCACACCAGGACCCACCCUGAUAGCGUGGAUGUACCAGCAGUAGUGAUGUACCAGUAGGAACCAGUGCCUAGGGACAACUGUUGGUAGUAGUCGAUCUGUUAGCAUAGAUGUUGUCUUCAUGUGAUGUGCUUGUGAAGGACCAUACCAGUGACAGGGAGGCAGAACAGGUUUCAUACUUUGCAACCUUGACUAUCACACACAGCAGCUUUGAAUGAGAUCUGAAGGUAGCUGCUUCUGUCCGUCAGUUACACAGGGAGUUUGCCCCCUAAAUGUACAGCAUUUGGCUGCCUCAAGGAGGCUGUGUGAAUCCCUUGUGCUUAACAUCUCUAAAGGGAAAGUCUCCUCCUUUUGAGCCAUUUCUCCCUGCUGCAUCUUCUCUGAUUCAGCACAGAUGGUGGCAGUUAUUGAAACCUGAAUCACAGUGGCAUUUUGUUAACCCUCCUCUGAUUACAGUGUGAACGAAGAAUACAAAGGAGGAGGGCAAGAAAAAGGGGAGAGCGGGACGCAAGCUGCAAAUUAAAGGCAAAUCACAAGCUUGGACUCUGCUAUUGUGCGAGUGGGGAGGUCCAAUUUUCUACCAUGCCAGGAAACUGCAAGACAUACCACAGUGCCAAAGAUCAAGGCCAGUACACCAGCCAUUAAGAUCCCUGUUUUUUCUCCUAUUAGAGAUCCAGCUGCCUCGUGCAUUUCUGUACAGCUGCAGCAUGUUUCCUUCCCAUCACAGAGAAUCCAGGGAAACAACAGAAAAAUAUACGGGGACUGAGUUGGUCAAGGUCUCUCAGAAAAUUUUUAUAAAAGGAUUGAAUCUAAAUACACAAAUAAAUUAAUGUUAGAUGUCUUUGCCUGCAUGCAGUAACUGCUAAUUCUACUUUCCUCAAUGAAAUACAUCAAAAGUAAGCUUUCUCCCCAUCCAUCAUUUGCCUCCCAAAAGUAGGAAAGGGACCUUGACGUCAAGGAAUAGUUAAACCCAACAAGCGAGAGGUAACGUGUCCUUCAAAACAAGCACAUUCUUUCCUGACUUCAUGGUUUUAUUCACGUCCUUCCAGCCUACUCCAAACACAAACUUAUCACUCUCUUUUUUUUUUUUUUUUUUUCCCAAAUCAAUAAUAGCUUGCACAGGGAUUGUGGAAUGCUGCAUUUGAAAGCCUCUCACACACUUUGUUGAAGUAAGGGACUGAUAAUAAUUAAUAGCUGCCAAGGACAUUCAGCCUCACUGAGUGGCUGUUAGCAUGGUUUUCCCCUAGACACAGUUUAGACUGAGCCUUUCCAGCUUUCCUAGACAGCAACUGAAGACCAGACGAUUUCUCUGCACUUCUGUGCACAACCCCCUGCAGAAGGUGAAGAGAACAUUCUGUGAAGACCUUGGACCGAAAAUCCUUGUCAAUGGAUGCAUUCUGCACCUUUUCUAGAAGCUCUUCCCAUGCAGCAGGGCAGUUCAGCUGUGCUAGAAAGGCACGGCUUCCCCACCCGUAUGGACAUCUGUGAUUUGGGUAGGUGAAGUAGCUCUGGACAGGCUUCCAGGUCACAGGGGAAUAUCAAAACACCGAAACACUGCGUACUGGAGGCUGAAGGAUUUGUUCCAGAUGGUUUCUGCCUCUUGCUCUCAUGAUUCAACCACUCUGAUGGGGUUAGAAACCUUAGGAAUUGUGCCUGGAUCGUAAGCUGCCUUUAUUUCGUAGACAUUCUGGAGUUAGGCCUAAAAGCAAUGCUUUUGGGAGCAACUAGUCUAAUAACAUCACUCAACACAGUAGCUAAAGGAAGUAAGACAGCUCAAGUGAAGCGCAGAGCUCCUGGCUCUGCAGCUGACUUUUGUCAGCUCCUCUCAGACCAGAGGAAGAAAGUUUUGGAAUUCUCUCAUUUUCUUCCUUUUUGCUUGGGCCAGCUGGAGACAGAAGAGCUGCAGGGCCGGCAGGCAUGGAGCACACUGAAGGCAGCAGUGAUACAGAAGAAAAGCAAUCUGACAGGCAGCCAGGAAAAGGAAAGAUCCUGGCCCUGAGUACUUUGUAGGGCAAAUCUGGCAAACGCCAGCACCUGCCAUGUUCUUUGUGGUUUUCUCUCUUCAGUAAAAUGCAUAUGCUCUUCUGAAGGUGCCAGUGCUUAUGCUUGGACAGGAGGAGCGAAGACCUUUAGCCUGGCUGAGCACCUCGAUUUUCCCAGAGCUGUGUGAACAUCUUCAGGCUGUAGGAUUAGACAAAGACACAAGAUCAGACCAACAUCUACAUAAAUGUGGUCAAUGGGAAAGCUGUAAUGGGAAAUACGUGUGCAGUAUGUGGCAGCUUGGAACAUAUCUAUCCCAUGAAUGAGUAACUGGGAGAUAAUAUUUGCUUAUGUCAGGGCCCAAUCUGGUUCUUACUUCAAGCUGUCAGUGGCCAAAAGAGCAGUCUAAACAGAAGCAAUUUAGUCCAUUAGCAGACAUCAGAGAAUCUACCUGCCUUGACAAAACCCAGCUAUGUUUCUAAUUAAGCAGAGAUAGCUCAGAGUUUCUGUUGCAGCCACUGUGGUUACAAUCCCAAAUUCCCACAACAAAUUGCAUACAUUUCUCACUGCUGGCAGAAUUACCUAUUUAUCUACCAUCUCUGGUCAAAUGCUGGAGUGCAUACAGAAGUGCUAUCAUAGCCAUUACCUGAAAUUUGUCUGAGUAGGGCUUGUGGGAUUUGGUGUUUGACACCAGGUGUUCUGCCUGAAGGGCGGAAGCUUCCUUUUUAGCACGAACAAAGGAAAGUCACUUGGGGCUUGGACUUCCCUCUUGUUCUCCAUCAGCACAGGGAGAAGCUAGGACCCUGAGUCAAAAUUUAUCAUGUUAAGUUCCUUCCCCUCCUGCUUUCUACAGGAAGCCUACUAUUUUUUGUUGUUGUUUUUUGUCCUUUCUUUUCUCCUAUACAUCCUUCCUCCAGCUUUCUACACAGCCCAUAGAGAGGCCUUCCCAUGCUGCCCAGUUCCCUCUACAGACUUUUCCCUUGUUGUUCACUGUGCCAGCACCCAAAGAAUCACAGAAACACAGAAUGGCUGAGGUGAGAAGAGUCUUUUGGUGAUCACUUUCUCAAGCAGGGACACCCAGAGCAGGCUGCCCAGGACCAUGUCCAGGCAGCUUUCGAAAAUCUCCAAGGAGGGGACUCCACAAAUCUCUCUGGACAACCAUUUUCAUUAUAUGGUCACAUUCACAGUAAAGAAGUGUUUUCUGAUGUUCAGACAAUCUACUGUGUGUCAGUUUGUGCCCAAUGCCUCAUCUUGUCACUGGACUCCACCAAAAAGAUCCUGGCUCCAUUCUCUUUGCACUCUCCCUUCAGGUAUUUGUAUAUAUUGACAAGAACUCCCUGAGCCUUUACUUCUCCAAGCUGGAAUUAUUUUGCUUCUGCUCUGCUGGUAGAAAUGAAGGAAAACACUCUCUCAUGCAGGCCCUCAUGCACAUUGACUAAGGCCCACACUUUAUCCAGGGCUGCAAAUGAAAGUUGCUUUGUCAUAGGUAGAUCAGCCUACUUGUCUGUGCUAUUAGUGAAUCCCCAAUGCGUAAUACCCCACUGGCAUUACACCAGUUAGCAUGGGUAUGAGUGGAGGGCUCACUGUGAAAUCUAUUACAGGGCCAGGCAGUCCUCAGGAAGUUGCUCCUGCUGUGGAGGCCCCACUGUGAUGAGGGCAGCCAUGGCGUGGGCCUGCACUUGGUUCUCCUCAGAACUAAUGAAGAAGGGAAGAACAGCUCAUUUAUUCCCUUGUUGUUUUCUGAAAACCCUCUUUUUGACAUUCCCUGGAUACCAAAGUUGACAUUCCCAGGGUAUCAAGGUGCAGCCUAGACGUGGUCAUCCUGAAUUGACACUGGGACAGUACUUUUACUUUCAGCUUAUAAAUAUAUUUAAAACUAUCAGCUCGUACGCUGCACCAGUAGUCAGUGGUCAGGUUUCAUCCUUGCUGGCAAGCAGAGGGAUAAUCCUGCUGUCAUCUGUGCAGCUGGCACCUCAUGCUUUGCUGCUGUGGAGAUCCCCUCCUGCCCCUGCAUGCCCUGUGCCACCAGAGGAGAGGACCUGCAGUCAGCUGUGUCCCUGCCACGAGCACCCACUGCCCUGGGAGUAGAAGAGGGCUAUUACUUUGCCAGUCCCUUGCAUGAGUUUAGCGUGGGUUUAAGCUCAGCUUAGCAUGCUGCUGUGGGGUGGAAAGGGCCAGAGGCAGCAUGGGUGACUGCCAUCUUCUUCCUCCUGAUGGAGGAGCUGGGGGACAAAGGAAGGAAGGGUGAACACAGAAGGAGGGGACACUGGAUGGGGAGACAGGGUGGGAGUGGCAGGAUGGCACAAUAAGGGGCUUCAGUGAAGCCUGGAGAGGGGUGCAGGGAGGGAAGAAGCCCGGGCAGGAGGUGAAAGGAGAAUUGUAACUGGGACAAGGGAGAGUGCUGGGGAAAUAAGCCUUGCCCUUAUGAAGAAUGUAACUUUUUUUUUUUCUUUUACAGCCCUUUUAUUUUAAUUGAAGCCAUUCUUCUUUUCUCCCAGCUUUCUUUGCCCAUUCUUUUCCUCCUGGUAUUUGACUGUCCAUCUGUAAUUCUGCUUCACUGUUUGCUAAUUUUCCGUCUCUUGCUCUGCCAGUACAACUGUCAUCGCAUGCAUUGUGCUAUGUCCUUUAUGAAACGAUGUGCAGAUAGCAAACACCCUGUAUGUACAAUACAAAGGCUGCUCUUACCUCUGUGUUGGCAUCGACUCUCCAGCUGCAAUUAUCCUUUCAUUUCUUCUCUUUGUCCUUUUCUGUUCUGUGGGCCUUGAUUUUCCCAUGUUUUCUGCAGCCUGGUCCCUUGCCAUCUUUGCUUUCCCCUCUCUUGAGCUGAGCUGGUCCCUGUCCCUGCUGUUGGUAUCACUUGCCAUGCAUCCCUCCCUUGCCUGGAGCAGCCUUGCUGAGGCAGCUGGAAUGGAGCAGUGCAGUGUAACAGGGAGAACGUGAACAGCAUCUACUGCAGAUCUCUGUGGUCAUGGCUAAGGUCAAAGAGCUAAACAUUUAUGGUUUGUGCGUGGGUGUAAUAUAAACAACAGCAAUUAUUCAUUUUCAAAACUUCAUAACUCAGCCAAAAUUUGACCAUUUUUGCUGGACUAAUCACAGAGGCUGCUACUUCUAAAGAUUAACUCGCAGUCAAACUUUACAGCCUUCCCCUCCCAGACAGAGUUUUGUUAUUGCUAUUAAAUUGAAGAAGCCAUUGUCACGGUUAUAAUGAGCUUCCCACCUCACCCUCUCCUGCCACUGGAGAUGUGACCUUUGUGAGGUACGGCCCCAAAAAUCAUACUCUCUUGCAUAGUAUUUGCUUAGGUCAACUAGGGAAGCAGCAAGUACUUCAAAAUACUUGAAUAUACAUGAGAUGGCUCCUGAUGACCCUUCACUUGCCCUUUCAGAGGUCCCAAGUGUAAGGUAGAGGGUAAAGUUUCUUCAUUAUACCUAGAUCCCCAAGAAAAUCCCGUAGUAAUCCCCAUCCUUACGCUGCCUGCAAGAAUGCUCCAUCCUCCUUCUGCCAUCACAUGCAGUGUAAUCCUCCUUUUCCUGCGUCACCCGUUCAGUGAUCCUUCUUAUUCUGCAAGAUCACAUGCAUUGCUUAUAGCAACCUCCCUCACACUUGCAGGGCAAGCACCAAGUCCAGGAGAAAACACCCUUCCUCUGCUUCUCCCAUAUGUUGCAAAGAAAGCCUCCCUUUUUACCUGCCCCCCCCAAAAGCCCAGUGCAGUUUAGAUCCCAUUUCUCUCCCUCUGAUGCCAUGAGACCUCUCUUCCUCGAGUGGUACCAAAGGAAGUGCUUAUUAACUUAGCAAGCUAGCUUUUGCUGCCCGUCAUUGAGAUUCAUUUCACUUUGCUGCGAUAACCUUUCCCACUCACCCUGAUCCUCUGAGGCCAAGAGCAAGGCAACAGCAAGCUGACAUUUUCUGUCUCAACAAAACAAUGAGACACACUGAAAGAUCAGAUGAGGGCUAGGUUAUUCUGCCAGCUCCCCCAUGCACUCGCGUCCUUGCUCCACACACAAAGCAUUGUAUUGCAAACCAGUAUGCUGCUUAGUCACGAGAAGCCUGUACGAGCUUGUAGCCUCAGGUAAAGAGCUGCAUUUUUUCAGUGUGAGAAACAGGGAGCAAGAUGAAGAAAAAAUACUCUGCAAAAUGGCCUCGUUGGUAUGUGCAAUCCCAAAGGGUCAGGAUUCAUAUACUCUCUUUCUGCAGUGUCACAUACCCCAGUGCAGCCACGGCAGUUCUGGGGAAAGAGCUUUACACAUUAUCCAUCAGUAGCUGGGGGCAAAUAGGUGAUCUCAAAAGCCACUGCUUCCUUGAUUAUUGUCAUCUUGCAACUCCAAUGGAGCAGCAAAAUUGAGAUGGAGAUAAUAAGAUACCAAAGUGAUGGUGAGUUGCUAAUCCGUACAAGCAUGGCUGUGCUGCUCCUGAGACAGCCCCUCUUGCCUUUGGUGGAGAUGACUCAAUCCAGAAGGGGUGAUGAGGAGAAAGAUUUAAAUCAAACCCAAUUACUGGGGCUUGAUAGGCUUCCCUGGCAAACUGUCUGGGAUUGACCCAGCAGUUGUCAGCUGGCUGCCUCCUCCCUUGACACUGCUCAGAGGGUUCAGAAGCCCUAUGAAUCACAGCCAGGCUCUUAACGAUCUUCAGGGCCCCAAGAGCAAGCCCCUCCUUCUGCCCUUACAGGCACGCAUGGAGGGUCUUUAUAAAGGAGGCUGAGUAACACAUGGCCUUUACCUAACCUUCAUCAGUGGGCAAACAAAACGAGAAACGCCUCUGUGAGCAUUUUGUCUGAGACUCUGGAAAUGGCAUGCUCUCAUUGUGGCUUUGGAAAUAAUCCACCUAAGAGAUUAUUCUGGCGUGGCUGUGAGAUAAUACCGUGAAGCCAUUGCGUGUGCUCAGCUCCCGUCCCUCAGGCACCUGGGCUCUGCCCAGGCCUCUCCCCAGACACAUGAAGGGCUCGUGAAGGCAGCGGGCAGGACCUGACCCACCGAUAGCGCCUGGCUAUCACAGGCAACAGAUGCCUGCAGACAUGAAACGAGAGGCAGGGGGGAAGCACAGCAUGCUGCAGAGGGAGAGCUUGUUAUCAUGGGCCAUGCCACAGCAAGGCCAGCACUCACUAGCCAGUACCUAAGCCUCCCCAGGAGGAUGCAGGCCAUUAAGCCUGCUGGAAAAAUGAUUCAGAAAUGAUUCUGAAACAAAUCAAAUGCAUCCAUUUUCUCCCUCAAUGCAGUCUUACAUGUGGCUAUUAAAUCAGACUGGGUCAUAAAUAAAGAAUUGGACCAAAGCAGCAUGAGCAUUUUUAUUAAAAAAUGGAGAGUAAUAAAGUAAAGCUGUAAUAAUAACAUGAAAAUGUUGACUAAUAUCUGUGAAAAGCUUGGAGAGGCAUGGAGGGAAUGAGCUAUUGUGUUCUGUGGCGGGUGGGGUGCUGGUGAAGUGUUUGUGGUUAGGACAAACACUCUGAAUUUUGCAAGCAGAGCUGAUGAGUUCUAGGGUUUGCUUUCUGGAGACUCCCUGCACCCAUGGGGAAAUGGCUGGUGCUCAGGGAAGGCCAGGACAGCCGGGCCGUUAUUGAACUCAUCAGAGCCUCUUCCAAGGGCUUUGUCUGUCUUUUUUCCAUCUCCCCCAGUGCCACUGGUAAAAUAUGUUCCAACAUCACAGAGGCAGAUGAUGAACUCCUUGUUCCAGAGCCGUGCCUGGCCUGUCCCAGCACACCCAGCAGCACCCACCAUUUUGCCUUGCUGAGUUGGAGCUGCGGCUGGUGCCUGGUGUGGCCUGGCAGAGGGAAGGCUGUAUCUGCGGAGACGUCAGCAGAGCACAAGUUCAAAGGAGGGGAAGGGAUAGGGAGAUAAGAGCACUUUGAAUCUUCAUUUAAAAAAGAAAAUCUGAUUAAGAUGUGCUGGCUAACUCGACACACAUGAACCCCAACACCACAAGCCUCACAGCUUGUACAUGUGCUGUAGAUAAUUAUCAGUUUCACUCUGUGCUACCUACAGUGACAGAGCCACUGGGCUACUCCAGCACCUACCUGGGUUGCCCAGUGAGGCCCACUUGGACCUGGGUAGUAGGACUGGGGCUGAGAGUGCUGAUUAGGCCAGAGGGGUGGGUCGUGAAAUUCCGUGCAUAUUUCUGAAGCCAUAAGAUUAUGGCAGAAGGCAGGUAACGAAUGCCAGACCUUGAAGAGAGCCGCAGGUAGCCUUGAUGUGAGAAUAACAUGACUUUGGGGGAUGGCACAACAAAGCACCUCCCUUCCCUGUCUGAGAGGCUUCUGUUCAGUACCAAACCUCCCCCAAAGCUGAAAUGACCUUCUGUCUGCCUGUCCACGGGAGGCAGAGACAGAGAGACAGGAUGCAGACAGAGACAGAGAGGUCAUGUUUUUGUUAGAAAGAAGAAAUAAGCAGAAGAGAGGUGGUGAAACAAUCCCAAACCCACAGCUCUUUGUGAGGGGGAGCUGGGAAAACUCUCCCUCUCUCUACCCAUGCAUGGCCCCACGACAGUUUUCUUUCAUGAGCUCUUUGUACUUCAUAGAAUCACAGAAUCAUAGAAUCAUUAAGGUUGGAAAGACUUCUAAGUUCGUCUAGUCAAACUAUCAACGCAUGCCUGUAACUGCUUUAGACCAUGCCACUCAGUGUGACAUCCACCCUUUUCUUGAACACCUCCAGGGACAAUGACUCCAUCACUCCCUGGGCAUCCUGUGCCACUGACUCACCACUCUUUCUGAGAAGAAAUGUUUCCUGAUAUCCACACUUCAUCCACAACCUCAAGAUCGCCUUCACUAUAUUCUGCAAAUCUUCAAGGGGAAAUGCUAACAAUUACUACUAAGUCUCACACUGUGCACCCUCCCACUACCCCAUCCUUGUGGAAGAUUGUUUUUUUUUCGUACACUUAGUCCUUCAUUUCAUGGGACUUCAUGCAUGGGGAGCUUCAAGGUCUCUAAGUUAUGAAGCCUAAUCUAACCUGCAAGAUGCUCUGGUAAAUGGAGUGUUUACAGUAGGCACUGCAAUACAUCAAAUGUAGCUCUGAAGGCUUCUGAGGAACAGCUGGAGGCCAAUAAGAUAGUCUGGAUUUUGGGGGGGAGUGUAGAAAUAUACCUAUAAAUAAUACUUUCCAUCUAUGCCAAAAACCGAAAUGCAAGCAUCUAAUUCCACAGAGAAGAAGGCAGCUCACUUUAUAGCAAAGUAGAUACACACCCUGUUGAGUAUUAGAUACAUGCUAACUGAUGGACCUUCUCUGGAAGUUCGGUUGUGUCCCACUUGGUGAUCAACUGCAUCUCUUCAAAUAGAACAUAAAACAUUAUUUGUUUAUUUUUGCAAAAGAUACAGAACAUAAACCUAUUCCCACAACAGUGCUUUAAUUACCCCAAAAGGCUGACAAUAAAUUUACAUUUUGAUUAAGAGUAAUGAAUUAUGCAUGAUUGCUUAGCAGUUUCUACAUAGUUAGCAGACAAGCACGGGGAAAUCUACAGUAUGGAUUGCAGAAAUUAAUCCUGACAAAAGAAGAAGGCGGCCAUUUUGUUUGCAGUAGCUGACCACUUAGGAAAAAAGUCUUUCCCAAUAUCAGACUGUUAAAAAUAUCCUACUGAAGCUCUGCUACAAGCUCCAUAUUGUAUUAUGGUCUAUGAGAACUGAGUUCAUCUUCUCUCUAUCAUGACAACACAACACUUGAAGAUCAUUUCAGUAGAAAUUUAGCCCCUCUGAACACUUUAGGACUGUGUAUGUAGGAAGAGUGACGGCAAAACAUUUUCCAUCCUCAGCAGGGACACGGAAACACCAGCCUAACUGCCAAUGCUGCAUACACCCAGGAUUUUGCUAUGUUUUGUCAGCCCACCUGUCUUAAGUGUUGCUCUUAAAACCAUAGCAUCCAUUCAAGGUGAAAGAAAAGGGAGGAAGUUAACUCUUCUGGAUGCACAAAACAGCGUGUAUAUUUGAGUACAUACAAACAAAAUCCUGAAAAACAAAAGCACUAGAGGAUAAGCUAGACAUGCAAAGAGUGCUUGAACUGUGACUUCUGAGACUUUUUACAUCACAGGUUCUUAACAUUAGGAAUAGGCAUUAGAGCAUCACUCCUAUGUUAUUUAUAAUUUCUCUACCUGUUCUGCCUCUUAAAGUUUUAACUUUCAAAACAGUUUAUGUUUUAAAAAAAAGUAAUAAAAACAUGAAAGGCAGAAAGAAAAAUGAACCAUCAAGGAAAAAAACAUCUAAUUGGAACUAUCAUCUCAAACUGUAAUUUGACAAAGUUGCUUGACUUCCAUAUUUUAGCAGCUUGUUUUGACAUCGUAACAGCAAUUGCCUUCUUCAAUUGCAGAAUGAUCUGUGUUCCAGCCCUUCUCUGCUCCUUACUGGAGGUUCCAACCUUCCAUACUUUUGUCUGAAGGAGAGCACUACCAUGGAAAGUGGACCCCACAGUGAGCAGCCACUGUGAGCUUUGCAUGGAUGAAAAUCUGAGUUUUGCAGGAGCCAGAAAGGCCAGUGGAGAGGUAGCUCAGAAUGAAUCCACAGAGCUGAGUUAAAGCCCAUAAUUCUGCAAGUGAUGGCACUGUGUGAAGUGGACUGGGGCUCAGUAAUUCCACCUGACCACCACGGAUCCAGGGCUCACAGAUCCCAACAGGAUCCAGGGCCAACAGAUCCACCAGUGCAAGGGACAAAUUGUUAAUGUUAGUAGAAGACUUGCAGAGAACUAUUUGUGAGCUGGAUGGCGUCUGGAUCCAGGAGCUGCUAUACAAGCCAUCUUGUUCCUGCUGGACCUUUCCCGUUAGCCUCAGCUGAAAAUGGUCCCCUAACUCGUUUCACACUGAGAUGCCAAAGAGGUGGCUGUGCUUGUUAUUCAUUUUCUUCCAAGACUGGGAGAAAGCACUGAGCACAAAAAUGUCAUUCACUGAGACAGUCACUGACUGAGGCACUCCCUGUUUGGGCAGACCCUGAGCCAGAUCAAAGUCCUCUUUCAGACAGUGGCUCACACCACAGAGAAAGGGGCAAAUCCCUCAAAUUCAGUAGUCACACCAUAAGUAGUCCACAGAACAUCCUCCCAAACUGCUCACUUAAAGAUGCUAAAGCACCCUGAAGGAGAACUACAGACACUUGCUUAAUGUUAUUGUUCCAUUUAAGUGAUCACUUGUGGUGCCAAGGGGAUAUCAUCCCUUUUCCAGGAAGAAGAAAGCAUAUUAUAACAUUGUCUGUAC
Long non-coding RNA from Numida meleagris (helmeted guineafowl), 13067 nucleotides. RefSeq lists it as uncharacterized. NCBI's taxonomy places the organism in Eukaryota, Metazoa, Chordata, Aves, Galliformes, Numididae. The transcript is spliced from 3 exons. The record is from RefSeq and is a predicted model, not a curated record.